UGACGAUGCCACCAGCGAUCCGCCUGAGUUCCUUAAAUGACUCGGCGGGCAGCUUCCGGGAAACCAAAGUUUUUCGGUUCCGGGGGAAGUAUGGUUGCAAAGCUGAAACUUAAAGGAAUUGACGGAAGGGCACCACCAGGAGUGGAGCCUGCGGCUUAAUUUGACUCAACACGGGAAAACUUACCCGGCCCGGACACUGGCAGGAUUGACAGAUUGAGAGCUCUUUCUUGAUUCAGUGGGUGGUGGUGCAUGGCCGUUCUUAGUUGGUGGAGCGAUUUGUCUGGUUAAUUCCGAUAACGAACGAGACUCUAGCCUACUAAAUAGGCCACCGGCUUACUGACGUCGGUGGGACUUCUUAGAGGGACAGGCGGCGAUUCAGCCGCACGAAACAGAGCAAUAACAGGUCUGUGAUGCCCUUAGAUGUCCGGGGCCGCACGCGCGCUACACUGAAGUGAUCAGCGUGCAUUACAAACCUGCUCCGUCAGGAGUGGGGAACCCAAUGAACCUUCUUCGUGAUUGGGAUAGGGGAUUGUAAUUAUUCCCCUUGAACGAGGAAUUCCCAGUAAGCGCGAGUCAUAAGCUCGCGUUGAUUACGUCCCUGCCCUUUGUACACACCGCCCGUCGCUACUACCGAUUGAAUGAUUUAGUGAGGUCUUCGGACUGGCCGGCGCAGCUGUCUUCGGGCGGCCGCGCUGUGUUUGGAAAGAUGCCCAAACUUGAUCAUUUAGAGGAAGUAAAAGUCGUAACAAGGUUUCCGUAGUGACCCUGCGGAUGAUC
RNAcentral lists this ribosomal RNA (777 nucleotides) under uncultured eukaryote. RNAcentral describes it as "SSU rRNA". It matches the Rfam family "Eukaryotic small subunit ribosomal RNA", at positions 1031 to 1827 of the family's 1831-position model. The record is from RNAcentral.